GAGCCAGAACGCACAUACACUAAAAUUGGAACGAUAGAGAAGAUUAGCAUGGUUCCUGCGCAAGGAUGACACACAAAUUCGUGAAGCAUUGCAUAUUUAA
Small nuclear RNA from Oryctolagus cuniculus (rabbit), 100 nucleotides. Lineage: Eukaryota; Metazoa; Chordata; Mammalia; Lagomorpha; Leporidae. The record is from Ensembl.